UUCUUUCUGAUCCUUCUCCAAAUGUUUGAGACGUAAAGGCUGCUUCAGGACUAAUCAAAACAUGUUUUAAAGACCGGAAAACUUAAUGUACAACACACAUUAAUUCUAGAUCUAACAUGAUAGAGUGUCUAUCACUACCUGCAUGCAUCCAUAUUUGUACAAUUCAUUGGGCUGCUACCUUACGUAAUUUGGUCUGACAUUACGGCUGCAUGUGUGUGCCUGUUAUUGUACAAAUAUAUUUUCCAGCAACCAUGUUACGCCUUAUCCUAGUUCUUGCAUCGUUGACCUCUUAUUAUAUCCAGAAUCCACUUCUUCCUGAAACUAAAUCUGCAUUCACAUUGACCACUCUAAACUACUCAUGCUUUAGUUCCCUGCAUUUUCCUUCAUUGGACAUCAUCUUCUCCAUGUCGUUCAUCAAGAUGCGUAUCCCUACGGCUCCUUCAGAAUCAUAUACACCAUGUUCUCAUCCUCGAACGCUACAGAAACAUCCGAUGCAGGUAAUGUUAAUACGUCAAAUAUUAGCAUCAAGCUAGCAAUCAACCAACAUGGAGAACCAAAGUUGCCUUCUUUAGGCUAGCUGUGUCGUGUCUAAGACAUGUUUGCCUAAUAUUGUUCUCGGUAAACAUGACACAUGGUGCCAUCUGGGUAGCCCUACCGGAGCAUACUUUUUCCCAAUUAGGAAAACAGUAAAACGGCCGUAACUUGUCCUUCCAUCUAUGUCAUUUGUUUGCCGAGUCCCUAUGUUCUGCACUCGGCGAUGAUUUUUGUAGGUGCCGAUUGGUGCCCAUACAAAUGAAAAAUCGACGACAUAAAUUUGCCAACAGGCGCCCAACAUAGUCGUGUUUUCGAGUGUAGCACUCGGCAAAUAUUAUGCCGAAUUCUUCAAGAUUACGUACCUUCCCUCCGGGGCUCAACAUAGCCGUCAUCCAUCAAAAGUGACUGCACCAAUCACGGUAUAGCUUUGUCCUCCAUAUCCCUUACACCCUGCCUCUAUUGGUUGAGGGAUUGAGAGAACUAUGAGGGGAAGCUGAAUCAUAGCAGGGAGUCGUUGAUUGAGUUAGGGUUAAUAAGUUAAGAACAGGAAAUAGAGUUCCACCCGUACAGGAAGUAUUGACAUUGGACAGUCUCUUUUUCUACAUAUAUGGUACAUGUUUUUCUCCUGUACGCUAUAUGAAGAUCUAUAUCUUGUUUUUGGAGGGAUAUAGAUUACUGAUUUUGUUUUGACAUCGAUGUCAUCUGCUUCAAGGAACCACAUAAUAAAAGAAAACUGAAUCGCUAAUAGCACGAUCAAAGGUGGCGAUGAAAAAAUUUGAAUCCAAAUUGGCAAAAACAAACUAAAAAUAAAUCAGUGUGAGAACACAAACCUGAUCUGGAUGAAAAAUAUAUUUUAAUGUGAUUAGCUCCGUCAGCGCAGCAGAUCCAUGCCCCACUUCGUUCUUGCAAUCUGGGAGAGGAACGGAUCUAUUUCCAUGUGGACAAACUGGCAAAAACAAACUAAAAACAAAUGAGCGUGAGAAGUCAAACCUGAUAUGGAUAAAAAAAUGUGAUUAGCUCCGUCAGUGCAGCAGAUUCAUGCCCCACUUCCUUCUUGCAAUUUGGAAGAGGCACGGAUCUAUUUCCAUGUGGAGAGGUAGAGAGAGAAGAGAGUUUGAGGAGAGAGACGUGAGAUGGAGAGAGGGGUCCAUCUCCAACUUCCUUCCUCCAAUAUGAGAAAGACAUGGAUCUCUUUCCCAUCAGAACAUGAAGAGAGACAUGAGAGCGUGAGAGAUUUGCUGCGGGACUGAGAAUAGGAUUACUUCAGGUCGUUCGUUAGUGUUAAAGGAAGAGAUGGAGACGUACAUGCCUGGGAGAUUGAGAGAAAGUAGGAUUGCUUCAGCUUAUUUUUUACUGGGAAAGGAAG
RNAcentral lists this long non-coding RNA (1900 nucleotides) under Hordeum vulgare. RNAcentral describes it as "long non-coding RNA (HVUL_LNC011488)". The record is from RNAcentral. Lineage: Eukaryota; Viridiplantae; Streptophyta; Magnoliopsida; Poales; Poaceae.